AUCCCUGCGGUGUUCGUGAACCGGACAUUGUUUUAACCAACAAUUUUUAAACGGGAGUUUCACUCCGGAUGUGGCUUGCAGGCCCCCUGCUUUGGCGGACGGGGAAGCGAAAAGCAUCUGGGUAAACGUUACCCACCCUGCAUAUGCAGGUUAAACCUAGUCCGUCAGACGGCACAGUGGGGCAU
Molecule: non-coding RNA, 185 nt
Filed under: human gut metagenome
Description: 6S / SsrS RNA
Rfam family: 6S / SsrS RNA
About the family: E. coli 6S RNA was the first non coding RNA to be sequenced, but its function was unknown until recently. It consists of 184 nucleotides that fold into an extended hairpin structure with a large single-stranded internal bulge. The 6S RNA specifically associates with RNA polymerase holoenzyme containing the sigma70 specificity factor.
Source: RNAcentral